GAUGAAGAACGCAGCGAAAUGCGAUAAGUAAUGUGAAUUGCAGAAUUCAGUGAAUCAUCAAAUCUUUGAACGCACAUUGCGCCCGCCAGUAUUCUGGCGGGCAUGCCUGUUCGAGCGUCAUUUCAACCCUCAAGCCCCCGGGCUUGGUGUUGGGGAUCGGCGUGCCCUCGCGGCGCGCCGUCCCCUAAAUCUAGUGGCGGUCUCGCUGUAGCUUCCUCUGCGUAGUAGCAACACUCGCACUGGAUCGCAGCGCGGCCACGCCGUUAAACCCCCCACUUCUGAAAGUUUGACCUCGGAUCAGGUAGGAAUACCCGCUGAACUUAAGCAUAUCAAUAAGCGGAGGA
Molecule: unclassified non-coding RNA, 344 nt
Filed under: soil metagenome
Description: partial contains 5.8S ribosomal RNA, internal transcribed spacer 2, and large subunit ribosomal RNA
Rfam family: 5.8S ribosomal RNA (bases 1-120)
Source: RNAcentral